Molecule: long non-coding RNA, 914 nt
Filed under: Citrus maxima (pomelo)
Lineage: Eukaryota; Viridiplantae; Streptophyta; Magnoliopsida; Sapindales; Rutaceae
Description: long non-coding RNA (CMAX_LNC002951)
Source: RNAcentral
GCAUGUUUAAGAACAACCUGAACCUCACCCAAAUUCACCAAAAUGGCAUUGAUUGGCCAAGUGAUGGACAUAGUGGAUCCCCUUGUAUUGCCGGAAGGAUGCAUGAGAGAAUGAUGCAUAAGUGAUUUAACAGAGUGUUAGAAGUUGAACUUUCAUGUUCAAAAGAAAGACAAAGAGAAUGAACAGGAAUAAGAAACGUAAUAAAGGUCCUACAUUUUGAACGACAUUCUCACCAACAAUAGGGCUAUAUAUAAUCUGAGGCAUCAAUGAACCAAAUUUAGCACAUAAUAACCACCAAGAAUAGAGGAUGUAGAAAUUGUGGCCUUCUUCAGUUUUUAUUUAACUCUCUCCCUUUCUACAAGCCAAUUCAUUGUUUAUCAAUCAAAAAACAAUGAUUACUUUUGCAGUCCGCAAGCUUAUUUACCAGUGCUCGAGAUUUCAAGAUGAAUGACAAAAUCCAAUCUUCUAAUUCAAUCAACCAGCUCACUAAUUCAAGACAAACCCAGCAGAAAUCAAGUCCACGUUCAAACAAGAAGCAAUCAAUACAAAUUCAAGAGACGAUUACGAUACCAACAAUCUUACAUCAAUCAACAUCAGUUUCUCACAAAUUCCAUAACAAAAACCAAAAAUUGAUUUCAAUUUAUAAGCAUUUUCAUGAGGCAAAUUAAGCAUCAGAACAUACACCGCGAAAGCCCUAACAAACUAAUACACACUAAUUUAAGCAUCACAAUAUACAAAGCAAAAAAGGAAUUAUUCACCACACGUUGCCACGUGGCACAAAUGAUUCGAACCUGUAGUUUAUCAUCAAUCGUCAUCACCGCUUGCUAUCGUAAUCAACGAUCUCGGAAUCAGUAACCGACCUGGAGUGCUGCACUAUGGAGCGUCCGAUGGAGUUGAUCCAGUCCUCUUUCUCC